RNAcentral lists this ribosomal RNA (492 nucleotides) under uncultured bacterium. Its description in RNAcentral is "partial 16S ribosomal RNA". It matches the Rfam family "Bacterial small subunit ribosomal RNA", at positions 29 to 507 of the family's 1533-position model. The record is from RNAcentral.
AGUGAACGCUGGCGGUAGGCCUAACACAUGCAAGUCGAACGGCAGCACAGUAAGAGCUUGCUCUUACGGGUGGCGAGUGGCGGACGGGUGAGGAAUAAAUCGGAAUCUACUUUUUCGUGGGGGAUAACGUAGGGAAACUUACGCUAAUACCGCAUACGACCUACGGGUGAAAGCAGGGGAUCUUCGGACCUUGCGCGAUUGAAUGAGCCGAUGUCGGAUUAGCUAGUUGGCGGGGUAAAGGCCCACGAAGGCGACGAUCCGUAGCUGGUCUGAGAGGAUGAUCGGCCACACUGGAACUGAGACACGCUCCAGACUCCUACGGGAGGCAGCAGUGGGGAAUAUUGGACAAUGGGCGCAAGCCUGAUCCAGCCAUACCGCGUGGGUGAAGACGGCCUUCGGGUUGUAAAGCCCUUUUGUUGGGAAAGAAACGCAGCAGGUUAAUACCCCGCUGUUCUGACGGUACCCAAAGAAUAAGCACCGGCUAACUUCGUG